Elaeis guineensis (African oil palm) is the source of this 1544-nucleotide long non-coding RNA. RefSeq lists it as uncharacterized. NCBI's taxonomy places the organism in Eukaryota, Viridiplantae, Streptophyta, Magnoliopsida, Arecales, Arecaceae. The record is from RefSeq and is a predicted model, not a curated record.
AAUUCGUUAUCGUCCCCACCACAGUGCUCCAGAGUCUUCGAGCAAGGGCUACAACAAUGGAGUUGCCAACCGAGGUGGCGACGGCCGUCGCUCGUUCCGCCGUGCGCUGUGCUCGACGUGGCACUCGAUGCCGUCGACGACCUCGGAGGCAUCCUUUCCUUUCGGCUAUCGUGCCUCCGGCGCCUCUCCCCGCGUCGCCGAACCUAAGUUUUCUCUUUCGCGACGGUACCUGAAAUGAGUCUUCUAGAACUGUGGGGACGUGGAGGAACACUUGAUUUGGCCAUGCGACAGGGGCAUAUACCCUUUAGAGCUUAUAUUGUCUCCCUUUUUGUCGCACAUUAAAAUAGACUUCUGUUCUUGUAUUGCUAAUAUUGUAUAUUCAUGAAAAGACAAACCCGCUUCUUGAUACAUAUAAGCUAACCUUGUAAACACAAAGCAGGGAAACAUUAUUGUUAGCAGCUGCAUGUUUUAAAUCAUGGGUGCUGAUUGGGGCAUGCUUACUUUAAUUAACCUAUUCAAACAUGUUCUUGGUUUGUUUCUCCUCUCAUGCUAGCUGAUGAUGUGUUUGCUUCCAAACGUAUCGAUGCUUAUUGAGAUGAUUUAUCAUCCUAUCUAUUAGUUCGAUAAAAAGUAAAUCAUACACAUGUGUGUGUUUAUGUCUAUGCAUAUGCAUGUGUAUGCAUAUAGAUACUAUUCACUGCUCUUUGACUAUUUUACAAUGAGGAAUGCUACAGACCCAAGCAUGGUACCCAGAAAGGAGGCACCAUGUGACAUAAUGAGAUUGUGUAGUUUGGGAUGUCAGUGCCAUACGCAGCAGGUCCCUGAUGCAAGGAACCAAUCCCUUUCCAACAUGUGGCCCGACGCUUUUUCUUUGUACCAGGUGCUCAACCUGGCAUAAGAGUUUCUAAAUCGUGCUGGUAACGAGUGGACACGGAAUGUGUGACGGUACCGGUCAAGAACUCAUAUCUAUCACAUUGUAAACCUACACAAGUCAUCCUCCAUAAAUGACCGAAGACAGACAAACCCAGAUCUAAGAACUAAUAUCAUCACCUUUUGUUUUCCCCAAAACACUAAUUGCCUCUGCUCGUGUCCGGUCAUAGAAGAUGGCCAAUCUCCUCCUCGAAGUGAACUUGUUAAUACGGACCUCCACUGUUUCGUUGCUCCAAAUCUAGUUCUUUUGAAGAGCAACUGAAGCAGAACCUCUCAAUUCCCACGUUUCGGCCACCCAAAAUUUUUAAAUUUUCCUUCAUUCAUUUACAGGACUACAUAACCACAGAUAGCUGUAGGAUGCCGCUCGCUGUUUACAAGAGCCUGAUUAUGUACGGUGGGGAGAAUCAAAAGAAAUACGAGCGUGCACGUCCAUAUGUUGAUUGACACGGUAGUGAUGAAUCAUGGAUAUUCGUGGAUCUGGUGAUACUGCAUCUCAAAGCUGCGUGGGGAAGGGAAUGGUAUACUUUGAUUGUACUGAAUUAUAGACUAUUUGUAUAUUUUAUUUGGGGGGGGGGGGGGUCUGGAAAGGAAAUCGAACUGGAUUGGAAUCGAAA